UAUGUGAUCGUCUCUCGCAUAUCAAUAAGCGGAGGAAAAGAAACUAACAAGGAUUCCCCUAGUAACGGCGAGUGAAGCGGGAAGAGCUCAAAUUUGAAAUCUUAAAGGGUUUCCCUUUACGAAUUGUAGUUUAAAGAAGUGUUUUCUGUUGAGGUUUUGGUAAAAGUUCUUUGGAAUAGGACAUCAUAGAGGGUGAGAAUCCCGUAUUUGACCUUUACUUUCAACUUUGUGAUACACUUUCAAAGAGUCGGAUUGUUUGGGAAUGCAGUCCAAAAUGGGUGGUAAAUUUCAUCUAAAGCUAAAUAUUGGCGAGAGACCGAUAGCGAACAAGUACCGUGAGGGAAAGAUGAAAAGAACUUUGAAAAGAGAGUUAAACAGUACGUGAAAUGUCAAAAGGGAAGCGUUUGACACCAGUGUUGUUUUUCUGAAAAUCAAUUAAAGAACUGUUUAUGCUAAGCUGUUUAGACUUUAUCAGCUAAUCUGUUUAGUUUUGAGCUUUUCUUUAAUGCACUUUUCAGUUAACAAGUCAACAUCAAUUUCUUUUGCUGUAAAAAAGCUUGAGGAAGGUGGCUUGAGAUUCGUCUUAAGUGUUUAUAGCCUCUUGCCUAUGCAGUCGGAGAGAUUGAGGUCUGCAGCGUAGAUCCUUCGGGGCUAAAUGCAUUUGUGCUAAGUUAUAGCAUUUUAUAGACAACUUGUUGACUAUGAUUUGUCUUGUAGCUUACUCGCUUAUGUUAUUUUACCUACGCUUAGGAUGUUGAGCGCAUGUCUCUCUCU
This 774-nucleotide ribosomal RNA is filed under the name uncultured Neocallimastigales. RNAcentral's name for it is "partial large subunit ribosomal RNA". It matches the Rfam family "Eukaryotic large subunit ribosomal RNA", at positions 24 to 616 of the family's 3401-position model. Lineage: Eukaryota; Fungi; Neocallimastigomycota; Neocallimastigomycetes; Neocallimastigales. The record is from RNAcentral.